GGCCGCGUUCAACUGGUAUGUCCUGAGUAUAGUCAAAGGGCUCAGGCACCCUUACAUCCUCCGCAGAGGGGAAGUGUAUCUUUCCUCUGCCACCCAUCCCAUAAAUAUGAGGAACGGGGGCACUUGUGCUGGCAGGUUUGUCGGAAGAGUCCCUAGCAUGCUUAGGGUGCUUCCUCUUUCUCUUCUUUGGCCUCUCAGAUUCAUCAUCCGGCCUAUCAACAUCCACCACCUCAACAGGUGGAAAAUCUUCAAUCUCAGCCCCCGAGUUUAGGGGCAACAUCUGCGAUUUAGGCAUUGAACUCGCCAAUGUUUGUGCGGAACUCACCGAUCCCAGUGUAA
Molecule: long non-coding RNA, 339 nt
Filed under: Zostera marina
Lineage: Eukaryota; Viridiplantae; Streptophyta; Magnoliopsida; Alismatales; Zosteraceae
Description: long non-coding RNA (ZMAR_LNC004615)
Source: RNAcentral